This 700-nucleotide ribosomal RNA is filed under the name Streptomyces sp. KLBMP 2150. Its description in RNAcentral is "bacterial SSU rRNA". It matches the Rfam family "Bacterial small subunit ribosomal RNA", at positions 73 to 789 of the family's 1533-position model. The record is from RNAcentral. Lineage: Bacteria; Bacillati; Actinomycetota; Actinomycetes; Kitasatosporales; Streptomycetaceae.
GAGCCCUUCGGGGUGGAUUAGUGGCGAACGGGUGAGUAACACGUGGGCAAUCUGCCCUUCACUCUGGGACAAGCCCUGGAAACGGGGUCUAAUACCGGAUAACACUCUCACAGGCAUCUGUGGGGGUUGAAAGCUCCGGCGGUGAAGGAUGAGCCCGCGGCCUAUCAGCUUGUUGGUGAGGUAGAAGCUCACCAAGGCGACGACGGGUAGCCGGCCUGAGAGGGCGACCGGCCACACUGGGACUGAGACACGGCCCAGACUCCUACGGGAGGCAGCAGUGGGGAAUAUUGCACAAUGGGCGAAAGCCUGAUGCAGCGACGCCGCGUGAGGGAUGACGGCCUUCGGGUUGUAAACCUCUUUCAGCAGGGAAGAAGCGAAAGUGACGGUACCUGCAGAAGAAGCGCCGGCUAACUACGUGCCAGCAGCCGCGGUAAUACGUAGGGCGCAAGCGUUGUCCGGAAUUAUUGGGCGUAAAGAGCUCGUAGGCGGUCUGUCACGUCGGAUGUGAAAGCCCGGGGCUUAACCCCGGGUCUGCAUUCGAUACGGGCAGACUAGAGUGUGGUAGGGGAGAUCGGAAUUCCUGGUGUAGCGGUGAAAUGCGCAGAUAUCAGGAGGAACACCGGUGGCGAAGGCGGAUCUCUGGGCCAUUACUGACGCUGAGGAGCGAAAGCGUGGGGAGCGAACAGGAUUAGAUACCCUG